This 440-nucleotide ribosomal RNA is filed under the name uncultured bacterium. RNAcentral's name for it is "partial 16S ribosomal RNA". It matches the Rfam family "Bacterial small subunit ribosomal RNA", at positions 338 to 795 of the family's 1533-position model. The record is from RNAcentral.
CCUACGGGAGGCAGCAGUGGGGGAUAUUGCACAAUGGGGGAAACCCUGAUGCAGCGACGCCGCGUGGGUGAAGAAGCGCCUCGGCGCGUAAAGCCCUGUCAGCAGGGAAGAAAAUGGCGGUACCUGAAGAAGAAGCCCCGGCUAACUACGUGCCAGCAGCCGCGGUAAUACGUAGGGGGCAAGCGUUAUCCGGAUUUACUGGGUGUAAAGGGGGCGCAGACGGCGAUGCAAGCCAGGAGUGAAAGCCCGGGGCCCAACCCCGGGACUGCUCUUGGAACUGCGUGGCUAGAGUGCAGGAGGAGCAGGCGGAAUGCCUGGUGUAGCGGUGAAAUGCGUAGAUAUCAGGAGGAACACCGGUGGCGAAGGCGGCCUGCUGGACUGCAACUGACGUUGAGGCCCGAAAGCGUGGGGAGCAAACAGGAUUAGAUACCCGAGUAGUC